GGCGAACGCUGGCGGCGUGCUUAACACAUGCAAGUCGAACGGAAAGGCCCUGCUUUUGUGGGGUGCUCGAGUGGCGAACGGGUGAGUAACACGUGAGUAACCUGCCCUUGACUUUGGGAUAACUUCAGGAAACUGGGGCUAAUACCGGAUAGGAGCUCCUGCUGCAUGGUGGGGGUUGGAAAGUUUCGGCGGUUGGGGAUGGACUCGCGGCUUAUCAGCUUGUUGGUGGGGUAGUGGCUUACCAGGGCUUUGACGGGUAGCCGGCCUGAGAGGGUGACCGGCCACAUUGGGACUGAGAGACGGCCCAGACUCCUACGGGAGGCAGUAGUGGGGAAUAUGGCACAAUGGGCGGAAGCCUGAUGCAGCAGCGCCGCGUGCGGGAUGACGGCCUUCGGGUUGUAAACCGCUUUCGCCUGUGACGAAGCGUGAGUGACGGUAAUGGGUAAAGAAGCACCGGCUAACUACGUG
Molecule: ribosomal RNA, 468 nt
Filed under: uncultured bacterium
Lineage: Bacteria
Description: partial 16S ribosomal RNA
Rfam family: Bacterial small subunit ribosomal RNA
Source: RNAcentral